RNAcentral lists this ribosomal RNA (245 nucleotides) under uncultured bacterium. Its description in RNAcentral is "partial 16S ribosomal RNA". It matches the Rfam family "Bacterial small subunit ribosomal RNA", at positions 111 to 354 of the family's 1533-position model. The record is from RNAcentral.
UAACACGUGAGCAACCUGCCUUUCAGAGGGGGAUAACAGUUGGAAACGACUGCUAAUACCGCAUAACGCUGCGAUGGGGCAUCCCGAUGCAGCCAAAGGAGCAAUCCGCUGGAAGAUGGGCUCGCGGCCGAUUAGCUAGUUGGUGGGGUAACGGCCCACCAAGGCGACGAUCGGUAGCCGGACUGAGAGGUUGAUCGGCCACAUUGGGACUGAGACACGGCCCAGACUCCUACGGAAGGCAGCAG